AUGAUUGCACCAACUGAUCCAGAAUUUAGAAGUGUGCAUGAGAGACUGCAAGACCCUAAGUUUUUUCCUCACUUCAAUGGUUGCAUUGGUGCUAUUGAUGGGACACACAUACCUGUCACUGUGCCAGCUAAAGACAUGAUUAACCAUUGCGGUUGACAUGAAUAUUCAUCACCAAAUGUGAUGGCCGUAUGUGACUUUGACAUGAGAUACACUUCUGUAGUGGCUGGAUGGCCUGGUUCGGCACAUGACACAAGGAUAUUCAAGGACAAAAUGGAUAAGUACAAAGAAAAGUUUCCUCAUCCUCUGACAGGUAUUUGCUUAAAGCAAUCUCAUAAUUAA
This 339-nucleotide ribosomal RNA is filed under the name Triticum aestivum (bread wheat). RNAcentral describes it as "partial small subunit ribosomal RNA". Lineage: Eukaryota; Viridiplantae; Streptophyta; Magnoliopsida; Poales; Poaceae. The record is from RNAcentral.